RNAcentral lists this unclassified non-coding RNA (154 nucleotides) under soil metagenome. RNAcentral's name for it is "partial internal transcribed spacer 1". The record is from RNAcentral.
GUGAUUAAAUCGAGCGUGUCUUCAUUGACCGCUCACCCUUCUCACCAUCCACAUACACCUGUGCGCUGUUUAGCCUGAGCCGGUUUUCCGGUCCAGGUUAUCAUUUCAUACAAACUCUAGUCUUAUGAAUGUAAACGUUUUAAAUAACAUAAUA